UACAGAGGUCCCAAGCGUUGUUCGGAUUCAUUGGGCGUAAAGGGUGUGUAGGUGGCGCCGUAAGUCGGGUGUGAAAUUUCGGAGCUUAACUCCGAAACUGCAUUCGAUACUGGCGUGCUUGAGGACUGGAGAGGAGACUGGAAUUCAUGGUGUGGCAGUGAAAUGCGUAGAGAUCAUGAGGAAGACCAGUGGCGAAGGCGGGUCUCUGGACAGUUCCUGACACUGAGACACGAAGGCCAGGGGAGCAAACGGG
This 253-nucleotide ribosomal RNA is filed under the name uncultured bacterium. RNAcentral describes it as "partial 16S ribosomal RNA". It matches the Rfam family "Bacterial small subunit ribosomal RNA", at positions 524 to 776 of the family's 1533-position model. The record is from RNAcentral.